CCUGCGCAGCCGGACCCAGCAAGACCUAGCUCAGCCCUGCCAGACCGCGCUUAAAAAUCACAGAAUCGAUUAGGUUGGAAAAGUCCUCUGAUAUCGUCGAGUCCAACCUAUGACCGAGCACCGGGUCAGUCAGACCGUGCCACGUCCCGUCUUCCCUUAAACACCUCUGGGGGCAGUGACUCCACCACCUCCCCAGGCAGACCAUUCCAACGUCUAAUGACCCUUUCUGUGAAGAAAUUCCUCCUAAUGUCCAACCUGAAACUCUCCUGGUGCACCAUAAGAGUGUGUCUUCUUAUCCUGUCACUGGUUGACCUGGAGAAGAGGCCAACCCCAACCUUGCCAGAUGCUCCUUUCAGGUCCUCUGUGAUCAGGCAAUCCUGGGAGAAGAAAUGUGUCUGUACCACCUAAGCACAUCACCUUGGCUUCCAGCUUUUGCAGGCCCCUCCACCGCAGCAUCCCUAUCCCACUGCAGGAACAGAAGUGGAAACUCGGAGAGAAAUCUGUGGACUGCUAGUAAUGAGAUGGAAGCAGGAGCUGAUGAAAGCUUUGAGGUCUUCUCCUCAGGGAGAAGCGGCAUGUCCUUCAGAGGCGGUACCAGAAUCUGCAGCUUUGUGGCACAAUAUUACAGAAAUGUUCCUGUCACUGCUAGAGGUUUGGCCAUAACACCAGAUAAUGUGUGAGAGUGCAAGCCUGCUGCCCUCCCUUUGGCAGAUUGUGGAUGCUCUUUUGGGUGGCAAUGCUGCCUUCCCCCCCACCCCCUUCCCACCCAUUCCUUUGCAAAGCACGGUUUGUCACCCCCUUGGCUGUGCUAAUGCAUCCCCCGCUGAGGAGUGACACUGCUGGAUCUGCUAAAUGGUCCCAGCUAAUAAUACUCCCCAAUACCUCUUUCUUUUGGAAAGUUAUUCAAGGAUCCAUCUUGCAGAAUGGCAUGAUGAACAUCUUGGCAAAUCUGAGCUGGCAGCUAAAGGAAGUGUCAGGGCAGGAGUAAGCAGUUGGGGGCAAGGAAAUGGCAGGAACGUCCUCAGCUGCUGUACAAUAAAAGACCAGAUGUAAUGAUUUGACACA
Molecule: long non-coding RNA, 1065 nt
Organism: Vidua chalybeata
Lineage: Eukaryota; Metazoa; Chordata; Aves; Passeriformes; Viduidae
Exons: 3
Source: RefSeq, a predicted model, not a curated record